UGCAGUCGAACGGUAACAGCGAGAGCUUGCUCUCGGCUGACGAGUGGCGAACGGGUGCGUAACGCGUGGGUAAUCUGCCCUUGGGUGGGGGACAACAGCUGGAAACGGCUGCUAAUACCGCAUAAUCCCUAUGGGGGAAAGGCUUCGGCCGCCUUUGGAGGAGCCCGCGUCCGAUUAGAUAGUUGGUGGGGUAAUGGCCUACCAAGUCAGCGAUCGGUAGCUGGUCUGAGAGGAUGAUCAGCCACACUGGGACUGAGACACGGCCCAGACUCCUACGGGAGGCAGCAGUGGGGAAUAUUGCGCAAUGGGGGAAACCCUGACGCAGCAAUGCCGCGUGGGUGAAGAAGGCCUUCGGGUUGUAAAGCCCUUUCAGUAGGGAAGAUGCAAGUGACGGUACCUACAGAAGAAGCUCCGGCUAACUCCGUGCCAGCAGCCGCGGUAAUACGGAGGGGGCAAGCGUUGUUCGGAUUUACUGGGCGUAAAGAGCAUGUAGGCGGUUAACUAAGUCAGAAGUGAAAGCCCCGGGCUUAACCUGGGAACGGCUUUUGAAACUGGUUGACUUGAGUCCGGCAGAGGGUGGUGGAAUUCCCCGUGUAGAGGUGAAAUUCGUAGAUAUGGGGAGGAACACCUGAGGCGAANGCGGCCACCCGGACCGGUACUGACGCUGAGAUGCGAAAGCGUGGGGAGCGAACAGGAUUAGAUACCCUGGUAGUCCACGCCGUAAACGAUGAGUGCUAGUUGUCGCGGGUAUCGACCCCUGCGGUAACGUAGUUAACGCGUUAAGCACUCCGCCUGGGGAGUACNGCCGCAAGGCUAAAACUCAAAGNAAUUGANNGGGCCCGCACAAGCG
This 850-nucleotide ribosomal RNA is filed under the name uncultured bacterium. RNAcentral's name for it is "partial 16S small subunit ribosomal RNA". It matches the Rfam family "Bacterial small subunit ribosomal RNA", at positions 56 to 931 of the family's 1533-position model. The record is from RNAcentral.